Molecule: ribosomal RNA, 1545 nt
Filed under: Escherichia coli
Lineage: Bacteria; Pseudomonadati; Pseudomonadota; Gammaproteobacteria; Enterobacterales; Enterobacteriaceae
Description: partial 23S ribosomal RNA
Rfam family: Bacterial large subunit ribosomal RNA
Source: RNAcentral
GGUUAAGCGACUAAGCGUACACGGUGGAUGCCCUGGCAGUCAGAGGCGAUGAAGGACGUGCUAAUCUGCGAUAAGCGUCGGUGAGGUGAUAUGAACCGUUAUAACCGGCGAUUUCCGAAUGGGGAAACCCAGUGUGUUUCGACACACUAUCAUUAACUGAAUCCAUAGGUUAAUGAGGCGAACCGGGGGAACUGAAACAUCUAAGUACCCCGAGGAAAAGAAAUCAACCGAGAUUCCCCCAGUAGCGGCGAGCGAACGGGGAGGAGCCCAGAGCCUGAAUCAGUGUGUGUGUUAGUGGAAGCGUCUGGAAAGGCGCGCGAUACAGGGUGACAGCCCCGUACACAAAAAUGCACAUAUUGUGAGCUCGAUGAGUAGGGCGGGACACGUGGUAUCCUGUCUGAAUAUGGGGGGACCAUCCUCCAAGGCUAAAUACUCCUGACUGACCGAUAGUGAACCAGUACCGUGAGGGAAAGGCGAAAAGAACCCCGGCGAGGGGAGUGAAAAAGAACCUGAAACCGUGUACGUACAAGCAGUGGGAGCCUCUUAAUGGGGUGACUGCGUACCUUUUGUAUAAUGGGUCAGCGACUUAUAUUCUGUAGCAAGGUUAACCGAAUAGGGGAGCCGAAGGGAAACCGAGUCUUAACUGGGCGUUAAGUUGCAGGGUAUAGACCCGAAACCCGGUGAUCUAGCCAUGGGCAGGUUGAAGGUUGGGUAACACUAACUGGAGGACCGAACCGACUAAUGUUGAAAAAUUAGCGGAUGACUUGUGGCUGGGGGUGAAAGGCCAAUCAAACCGGGAGAUAGCUGGUUCUCCCCGAAAGCUAUUUAGGUAGCGCCUCGUGAAUUCAUCUCCGGGGGUAGAGCACUGUUUCGGCAAGGGGGUCAUCCCGACUUACCAACCCGAUGCAAACUGCGAAUACCGGAGAAUGUUAUCACGGGAGACACACGGCGGGUGCUAACGUCCGUCGUGAAGAGGGAAACAACCCAGACCGCCAGCUAAGGUCCCAAAGUCAUGGUUAAGUGGGAAACGAUGUGGGAAGGCCCAGACAGCCAGGAUGUUGGCUUAGAAGCAGCCAUCAUUUAAAGAAAGCGUAAUAGCUCACUGGUCGAGUCGGCCUGCGCGGAAGAUGUAACGGGGCUAAACCAUGCACCGAAGCUGCGGCAGCGACACUAUGUGUUGUUGGGUAGGGGAGCGUUCUGUAAGCCUGUGAAGGUGGCCUGUGAGGGUUGCUGGAGGUAUCAGAAGUGCGAAUGCUGACAUAAGUAACGAUAAAGCGGGUGAAAAGCCCGCUCGCCGGAAGACCAAGGGUUCCUGUCCAACGUUAAUCGGGGCAGGGUGAGUCGACCCCUAAGGCGAGGCCGAAAGGCGUAGUCGAUGGGAAACAGGUUAAUAUUCCUGUACUUGGUGUUACUGCGAAGGGGGGACGGAGAAGGCUAUGUUGGCCGGGCGACGGUUGUCCCGGUUUAAGCGUGUAGGCUGGUUUUCCAGGCAAAUCCGGAAAACCAAGGCUGAGGCGUGAUGACGAGGCACUACGGUGCUGAAGC